UGGUGGGGACUCAUAGGAGACUGCCGGGGUCAACUCGGAGGAAGGUGGGGAUGACGUCAAAUCAUCAUGCCCCUUAUGUCUUGGGCUUCACGCAUGCUACAAUGGCCGGUACAAAGGGCUGCGAUACCGCGAGGUGGAGCGAAUCCCAAAAAACCGGUCUCAGUUCGGAUUGGGGUCUGCAACUCGACCCCAUGAAGUCGGAGUCGCUAGUAAUCGCAGAUCAGCAACGCUGCGGUGAAUACGUUCCCGGGCCUUGUACACACCGCCCGUCAAGUCACGAAAGUCGGUAACACCCGAAGCCGGUGGCCCAACUCUUUGA
This 319-nucleotide ribosomal RNA is filed under the name Salmonella enterica. RNAcentral describes it as "bacterial SSU rRNA". It matches the Rfam family "Bacterial small subunit ribosomal RNA", at positions 1129 to 1445 of the family's 1533-position model. The record is from RNAcentral. Lineage: Bacteria; Pseudomonadati; Pseudomonadota; Gammaproteobacteria; Enterobacterales; Enterobacteriaceae.